This 77-nucleotide transfer RNA is filed under the name Morganella morganii subsp. sibonii. Its description in RNAcentral is "tRNA-Met". It matches the Rfam family "tRNA". From Rfam's summary of the family: Transfer RNA (tRNA) molecules are approximately 80 nucleotides in length. Their secondary structure includes four short double-helical elements and three loops (D, anti-codon, and T loops). Further hydrogen bonds mediate the characteristic L-shaped molecular structure. tRNAs have two regions of fundamental functional importance: the anti-codon, which is responsible for specific mRNA codon recognition, and the 3' end, to which the tRNAs corresponding amino acid is attached (by aminoacyl-tRNA synthetases). tRNAs cope with the degeneracy of the genetic code in two manners: having more than one tRNA (with a specific anti-codon) for a particular amino acid; and 'wobble' base-pairing, i.e. permitting non-standard base-pairing at the 3rd anti-codon position. RNAcentral also lists the same sequence under 5 other names. The record is from RNAcentral. Lineage: Bacteria; Pseudomonadati; Pseudomonadota; Gammaproteobacteria; Enterobacterales; Morganellaceae.
CGCGGGAUGGAGCAGUCUGGUAGCUCGUCGGGCUCAUAACCCGAAGGUCGUCGGUUCAAAUCCGGCCCCCGCAACCA